RNAcentral lists this long non-coding RNA (208 nucleotides) under Elaeis guineensis (African oil palm). Its description in RNAcentral is "long non-coding RNA (EGUI_LNC080865)". Lineage: Eukaryota; Viridiplantae; Streptophyta; Magnoliopsida; Arecales; Arecaceae. The record is from RNAcentral.
ACGGUCAAAGAUACGAUUGAUUUCUUAUAAAGCAUUUACUGUUUGUUUGCAUAUUUUUUAUUGCUUUCAAUUUAGUUGCAUUUUCUUUUCUUGUGUAAAAGACUAGUGUUUAUUUUUUCUUGGCAAUUGGUCCUCUGGCUAUUUGACCUUUUGCACUCUAAUGAAGACUAUAUUUGUGGUCCAUGAAAAUCCUUACAUUUUGUGUAUU